Molecule: long non-coding RNA, 1302 nt
Organism: Brassica napus (rape)
Lineage: Eukaryota; Viridiplantae; Streptophyta; Magnoliopsida; Brassicales; Brassicaceae
Exons: 6
Source: RefSeq, a predicted model, not a curated record
UUCUUUUCUGGGCUUCACGUUUUACUCAAAUAAUUCCAGCCCGAUAGCAAGAAGUUGGCCCCUUCACCUUCGUAACGAAAAGCUUCCAUCCUUUCUAGGGUUCAUCUGUGCAUCCAAUCGUCGUGAUUAAGCCUCUCAGUAAUAAGUAGAGUAUCGCGUUUUUUCGAGCGGGAAGAGAGCUUUGCGGCGUAGUUUGUCAAACACUUCAUCGUCACUGAGAAGGAAUAUGACAGAGGAGAGAGAUGAAAAGGCCGGUGAUUGCUUCUCUGAUGAUCGUAAAAGAUGCGCUUGGAUCACUCCGAAAUCUGACCAAUCUUGCAUUGCUUUCCAUAAUGAAGAGUGGGGAGUUCCUGUCCAUGAUGACAAGUACGUGAUGAUAUAUCUUUUACUGAUUAUUUUUGAUUAGUCUGGGAGAUGCUAUUUGUUUAUUAUAAACUCUCUUAUUUGUCAAACUGCUUACAUGAAAAUUUCCGAGUUAUUAAGCCUCCCUGGUCUUCUCCCGGAACUAUCCUGGAAAUACAUUCGUUUCAAAAGACAAUCAUUCAGAAAAAUUUUCAAGGAGUUUGAUUCAAUUCCUACAUCUGAACUAACAAACAAAAAAAGAGAACACCCCCUCAGACGUUGCUACCACCCCCAUUACUAUCCAUGAUCCAAGGCUUAAUGGUUAAACACAGUUAUAGAGUUGCAUAUUCCCAUCCUUUUGGCUUCCCACAGGAGAAUAUAUUUGGUAACAUCGUCUGGAAAACAUAGAGUUCUUUCUUUACAUGCACCUAAAACAAACAGAGAUGCUGACAAAAAAAAAAAAAAAACAAACAAACAAACAGAGAUGAAAGGAGUGUUCAGAAAAAUGUCCAGAUUAAUACAGAGUUAGCCAGAAGACUAUGAACGCACAUGAGGCAGAAGCAACUGCAGAACAGGCAGUUUCAAAGGUAGAAGCUGCCAUGACAGCGGCUGAAGAAGCUGCAAAGGAAGCAGAUGCAGCAGAAGCUGCUCGAGCUUAUGCCGAAGAAGCUUCAAAGACACUGGAAGGAAAAAAAACAUCUGCAAAGUGAUGGUUUGUACAUGAGAUGACAUAGAAGAAUAAGAAGCUAAAUGUGUUACAGGUGAUGAGAGAGAGAGAAGCGCAGAAGUAGUGUUUGUUGUUGAUGAUUUUCCACUUAGAAACUCUUUUUAGUUAUUUCGUGAAAAAAAAUUCUUUUUAGUUGUAAAGCAGUAAAUCUCAGAUGCUAAAGCCAUUGUAUUAUUGUUCACACUUUACUCUACGGCCAAAAUAAGAUAAAAACUGAAAACAUAAAAGGCUAC